GAGAGGAAGGUCCCCCACAUUGGUACUGAGACACGGACCAAACUCCUACGGGAGGCAGCAGUGAGGAAUAUUGGUCAAUGGGCGUAAGCCUGAACCAGCCAAGUCGCGUGAGGGAUGAAGGUUCUAUGGAUCGUAAACCUCUUUUAUAAGGGAAUAAAGUGCGGGACGUGUCCCGUUUUGUAUGUACCUUAUGAAUAAGGAUCGGCUAACUCCGUGCCAGCAGCCGCGGUAAUACGGAGGAUCCGAGCGUUAUCCGGAUUUAUUGGGUUUAAAGGGUGCGUAGGCGGCCUUUUAAGUCAGCGGUGAAAGUCUGUGGCUCAACCAUAGAAUUGCCGUUGAAACUGGGAGGCUUGAGUAUGUUUGAGGCAGGCGGAAUGCGUGGUGUAGCGGUGAAAUGCUUAGAUAUCACGCAGAACCCCGAUUGCGAAGGCAGCCUGCCAAGCCAUGACUGACGCUGAUGCACGAAAGCGUGGGGAUCAAACAGGAUUAGAUACCCUGGUAGUCCACGCAGUAAACGAUGAUCACUAGCUGUUUGCGAUACAGUGUAA
Molecule: ribosomal RNA, 548 nt
Filed under: uncultured bacterium
Lineage: Bacteria
Description: bacterial SSU rRNA
Rfam family: Bacterial small subunit ribosomal RNA
Source: RNAcentral